This 791-nucleotide ribosomal RNA is filed under the name Helotiales sp. Its description in RNAcentral is "partial large subunit ribosomal RNA". It matches the Rfam family "Eukaryotic large subunit ribosomal RNA", at positions 77 to 885 of the family's 3401-position model. The record is from RNAcentral. Lineage: Eukaryota; Fungi; Ascomycota; Leotiomycetes; Helotiales.
ACCUCAGUAACGGCGAGUGAAGCGGUAACAGCUCAAAUUUGAAAUCUGGCUCUUUCAGGGUCCGAGUUGUAAUUUGUAGAAGAUGCUUUGGGCAUUGCUCCGGUCUAAGUUCCUUGGAACAGGACGUCAUAGAGGGUGAGAAUCCCGUAUGUGACUGGUGGCAUUUGUCCGUGUAAAGCUCUUUCGACGAGUCGAGUUGUUUGGGAAUGCAGCUCAAAAUGGGUGGUAUAUUUCAUCUAAAGCUAAAUAUUGGCCAGAGACCGAUAGCGCACAAGUAGAGUGAUCGAAAGAUGAAAAGCACUUUGGAAAGAGAGUUAAACAGUACGUGAAAUUGUUGAAAGGGAAGCGCUUGCAACCAGACUUGCAGGUCGUUGAUCAUCCGGGGUUCUCCCCGGUGCACUCGGCGGCUUUCAGGCCAGCAUCGGUUUGAGUGGUGGGAUAAAGGCCUUGGGAAUGUGGCUCCUCUCGGGGAGUGUUAUAGCCCAAGGUGCAAUGCCGCCUAUUCGGACCGAGGACCGCGCUUCGGCUAGGAUGCUGGCGUAAUGGUUGUAAGCGACCCGUCUUGAAACACGGACCAAGGAGUCUAACAUCUAUGCGAGUGUUUGGGUGUCAAACCCAUACGCGUAAUUAACGUGAACGGAGGUAAGAACCCUUAAGGGUGCAUUAUCGACCGAUCCUGAUGUCUUCGGAUGGAUUUGAGUAAGAGCAUAGCUGUUGGGACCCGAAAGAUGGUGAACUAUGCCUGAAUAGGGUGAAGCCAGAGGAAACUCUGGUGGAGGCUCGCAGCGGUU